This 399-nucleotide unclassified non-coding RNA is filed under the name Hevea brasiliensis (rubber tree). Lineage: Eukaryota; Viridiplantae; Streptophyta; Magnoliopsida; Malpighiales; Euphorbiaceae. The record is from RNAcentral.
UGAUUUUUCAUCUGGGUAUUCGUUACAUUUGAUACUGAAGGUUUGAUUUUUAGGGGGAAAAAUGGGGUCAAUGAUUUGCAUGAAUGAGCUAUGUCGUGCAACGACGUCGGUUGAGUGGAAGAAAGGAUGGGGAUUCAAAUCCGGUGGAUUUGCUAAGCUUUGCUACAACUGCGGAUCUGCUUUUGAGAAUUUCGUUUUCUGUGAAACAUUCCACCCGGAUGAAUCUGGUUGGAGGGAAUGCAGAACUUGUAGAAAGCCUAUACACUGUGGGUGCAUUGCCUCAAAAUAUUUGUAUGAGUACUUGGAUUACGGAGGUGUUACAUGUAUAAAAUGUGCACAUCAUUUGGAUGGUCAUUCCAUCAGGCCAAUACAGAUACCUGGUGAUGAUUUUCCUAUUGG